UACGUAGGAGGCAAGCGUUAUCCGGAUUUACUGGGUGUAAAGGGAGCGUAGGCGGCGGAGCAAGUCAGAAGUGAAAGCCCGGGGCUCAACCCCGGGACGGCUUUUGAAACUGCCCUGCUUGAUUUCAGGAGAGGUAAGCGGAAUUCCUAGUGUAGCGGUGAAAUGCGUAGAUAUUAGGAGGAACACCAGUGGCGAAGGCGGCUUACUGGACUGACAAUGACGCUGAGGCUCGAAAGCGUGGGGAGCAAACAGG
Molecule: ribosomal RNA, 253 nt
Filed under: Pseudocoprococcus catus
Lineage: Bacteria; Bacillati; Bacillota; Clostridia; Lachnospirales; Lachnospiraceae
Description: Coprococcus catus partial 16S ribosomal RNA
Rfam family: Bacterial small subunit ribosomal RNA
Source: RNAcentral